RNAcentral lists this long non-coding RNA (408 nucleotides) under Homo sapiens (human). RNAcentral's name for it is "non-protein coding lnc-FPGT-4:2". Lineage: Eukaryota; Metazoa; Chordata; Mammalia; Primates; Hominidae. The record is from RNAcentral.
CUUGAUGCCUAAAUUAUUUUGUAAUCUGGCCUUUGCCAACUUAACUUCUCAUAGAAUUCUACCAUAUACCCAAGGCAUACAGACAUAACAUGAAAACUCCCUGCCAAAAACAAAACAAAUUCUACUUCAUAGGAUGAUUAAUGUUGUUAUGGAAGCUGGAGGCUGAGAAGUCCCAUUAUCUGCCACCAGUACGAGCCAGAAUCCCAGGAAAACUCAUGGUAUAAUUUCAACCUGAAUCCAGAGGCCUGAGAACGAGGAGAGCCACUGAUAUAAAGAAUCCUAUACUGACAAAGAAGACUUCUUUAACACUGACAAAGAAGAUUCACCAGAAUUUAGGGCUCAAUGUUUCCAGCUUCAUCAAGGUCUUCCAACACAUCUCUGUGGCAAUUAUAGGAUAGCAUUUUUUUU